UACGAAGGGGGCUAGCGUUGCUCGGAAUUACUGGGCGUAAAGGGCGCGUAGGCGGACAGCUAAGUCAGAGGUGAAAGCCCAGGGCUCAACCCUGGAAUUGCCUUUGAUACUGGCUGUCUUGAGUAUGGGAGAGGUGUGUGGAACUCCGAGUGUAGAGGUGAAAUUCGUAGAUAUUCGGAAGAACACCAGUGGCGAAGGCGACACACUGGCCCAUUACUGACGCUGAGGCUCGAAAGCGUGGGGAGCAAACAGG
This 253-nucleotide ribosomal RNA is filed under the name uncultured bacterium. RNAcentral describes it as "partial 16S ribosomal RNA". It matches the Rfam family "Bacterial small subunit ribosomal RNA", at positions 524 to 776 of the family's 1533-position model. The record is from RNAcentral.